Long non-coding RNA from Spinacia oleracea (spinach), 674 nucleotides. RefSeq lists it as uncharacterized. The transcript has 5 exons. The record is from RefSeq and is a predicted model, not a curated record. Lineage: Eukaryota; Viridiplantae; Streptophyta; Magnoliopsida; Caryophyllales; Amaranthaceae.
UCUCCUGUCCAGGCGCAAGGCAUUGAUCCGAGUAAGAUGCAACUCCCUUGUGCUAACUGAAAGGCUAUACUCAAUGUCCCUCAUGGCCUCUCUCGCUUCAAAUGUCCUCAAUGCGACAUCGAUCUUACUAUCGAUGUCAUGAAAAUGAAGAAGCUUCUUCCUCCUCCCGUCGAAGAAUUCAAUGAGGAGAUAUGAACUGUCUAAGAGCGGCGACGACGACAUACUGCGUGGGAGCUGGAGAAGCUUGAAGUGAGUGGGCGAACUCGUACAAUGAUUGCUUCAAAGGUAAACUAAAGGAGGUGAAGGCUGAGAAUUUCAACGACAAUUCUCAGUUCUGGUAGCAGCAGUUCUGGGAGCUAGCAGCAGUUCUGACAGCAGCAGGUGAUCAAUGCUCACAAUUUAUAUCGAGUAUUCAAGUAUUCAAAGUGAUUUUUGAGAGCAAAAAUUCAGUCAUACAAUUGCCUAUAAGUGCCGAAAAUUCUAAGUACCUUAAGGGCGAUCCUAGUUGGUCAAGCUUAAGGCUGAUCCGGACUUGCUGUGGACUAUCUACGGAGGGACGACACUUGGAGUCCUAAAGACCUGUUCUUGUUCGGUUCGGGCGCAGCUAGGGAAGGCACGCAACAAAGAGUAUGCAUCUAAACUAUGUAAAUGAUUAUGUGUAAAUAAUAUGCUUU